GUAUUUAAAACGCUAUGUGAAUAAAAUGGACAGAAACAGUCAAGUGAAAUUAAAUAGAUCCUUAAGGACUAAUGAAGCUUUUUGUUCUUUGUGGUCUAUCAGAUGGAAGAGGCACUUCCAGGUCCCUAUGAUUUACUUGGAAAAGUCCUCAUGCUUAUUGUGAAGAAGGCUCCAAAAGUGGAAAUUCUUUUUAAAAACGUGUGGUGCACAUAAAAAUUAUCUCUAGAAUAGCCAGAAGACUCCAUGGAGAAAAUGGACAGACAACCGAAUGAAGCAAAAUAUAUCCUCAAGUAAUAAUGCAGCUUUUUGUCCUCUGUUCUCAUGCUGAGUGAAAGAAGAAUAACAGGUCCCUAUGAGUGAGUUAACUACUCUUCCUCCAGACUGUGAACAAGCCUCCACGAGGUUCUUUGUGCGUGGUCAAAGGGUCAUUUUGCUGUGAAUCUGAAGCCAAGCGAGAAGACAACCAGCAUACAAACUGACAAAAUAAAGUGAGAUAAUUUUUAGAGAACGUAGUAUGGCGUGGUGGUUAACAGAAGGUUAUGGAAUCAGAUUUCCUGGGUUUGAACAUGACCUGGGAAAUUUUUUAAAACUCCCUAUGCCACAUUUUCUUCAUCUAUAAAAACAGUAAUGAUAGUACUUAUCUCAUAAAGUCAUUG
RNAcentral lists this long non-coding RNA (656 nucleotides) under Equus caballus (horse). RNAcentral's name for it is "lncRNA (ENSECAG00000052227.1)". Lineage: Eukaryota; Metazoa; Chordata; Mammalia; Perissodactyla; Equidae. The record is from RNAcentral.